AAUAAAACAUAUAUAAUUCAUAUCUAUGUACAAAAAAUUAUAAUCCUCUUGCGUGAAACAAUUAUAACUUAUUCUUUUAUGUAUUUUUGUUUUUUAAAUAAGAAUAUUAUUAACAUUUUUUUAAAUCUAAUAAGCAAGGUAUUAUAAAAAAAAGAUUAUAACACUUUGUAACCUAGUAUUCAGAAGACUAAAAAAAUAUGUGGUCAACAUAAAUGAUCAAAAGAUACAAAAAUUAUCUUAGGUCUCUUUUUUGUAACAUUCAAUAUAAUAUGUUUCACAAAAAAAGAACACACUUUGAUAUAAAAUAUAAUCAAAAUUUUACAAAAAUACAAGCAUUUACACAUAUCCCCACAAGAACCUUAUUAAAUAGUACUACAAGUACAAUUAUGCCAUAUACAUCAUCAUCAAUAAUAAUUUUAAAUUGAUACUUCACAAAAUAAAAAGCAAUUACGAAACCGAUUCGACAGACAGGUAAAACAUUAAAACAUUGACUGGUUUAAAUCAUUGAUGUAUGUUUUUAUAGAGGAAAUCUAAAAUUUUACAAAACUGUCACCAUCCAGUCAAACAGAUCGAAAUUCGAAAAAAAAUGUUAAUAGAGGACUAAAUAUUACUGGAUAUAGUUUUGUUGGUUGUUACAAAAACUUACUUCAUGCUGAGUGCUAAGUAACCGAUGGGUACAUGUUGUUGACGAUAAAAAUGAUGAAAUAUUAUCAAUGUUACACGCCUGAUUUUUUUGUUCUACCAAUAUUUUUAAUUUCACUAUCCUAUGUUCGUCCAAAUCAAACGGAGCCACUGCGAGAAAAGCGUCAGACAUUUUAGUCAAACGGCAGGCCGGCAACUAUAAACGCUCACCAAUUCGGGAGAAACAAGGGAUGCCAAUGUUUGAGGAAUAAACAAAGAACAACCACUAAAUACAAUAAUGCCACGUUAACUGACCAGGAAUUUGAUUCAUUGACCAUUUCUACCCCCGCCAGUUCUUGGAAGUGAACUUUCAACGUUCUGGUCUUUGAACAUUUAUGCAUCUUUAUGUAUUAAGUAGAAUUUAAAUGCAAAAAUCUAUAUAAUGCACGUAAUAUAUAAAAAUAUUCGAAAUAAAAUACUAGAAAUAUAAUACUACUCGUUACAAUAUUUAAAUGGUGAAACAAAUUUAUAUUCAAAUUCUAUUUUUUUAGUUAUAAUCAUAAAAAUAUAAACUUGUAUAAAUAUCCACAGUUCACUGAUAUUACGCAUACAAAAUAAACAAAUGUAUCAAGUAUCUAUAUCUCACUCACAUUCAUUGACAAAAAGAAAUACUUGGAAUGUCUUAAAAUACUUCUCUUGAUAAUUGGCCAGAUACAGUCCAGAUCCGUGGUCAGUUAGCGAAACAUUACUGUAUAUAUAUUUCGAUUCGAUCGAUGAUUAUUUGAAUUAAUUUAAUUGUAUCUAUAAUGAAAUUAUACAAAGUUUCAAUGGAAAUAUUCAUGUGUAAAAGAGAAUCUUUUACAAACAAUACUUUUAAUCAAAUCUUUUGAUUUUAUACUUAUGUUUAUUAUAAUUUAACAUUGUUACGUUACAUCUGAUUUUUAUUUAAACGACUUCAAAUAUUUCACAAUUAACUAUUGUAACGACCGUCAUGUUCUCUCCUUAAAAAUUAAUAUAUCAAAAAGAUGUCAAGAUAAAGAUACACGUUCCUAAUAUGAAUUUAAGUGCAUUAUACAAUUAAUACAUAUAUUAAUCUUCCAUUUCUGAUGGAUCACCACCCAUCGCUUUCCAAAAAGCAGUAA
Long non-coding RNA from Bombus huntii, 1763 nucleotides. RefSeq lists it as uncharacterized. The transcript has 2 exons. The record is from RefSeq and is a predicted model, not a curated record. NCBI's taxonomy places the organism in Eukaryota, Metazoa, Arthropoda, Insecta, Hymenoptera, Apidae.